CUGGACUAAAGCUAUCCACUUCUGCAGACUCAGUGCGUUUUGCAUACUGCAUAUACAUUACUGUAAGUGUGACACACCCGGCUGCGCGCACACACCCUCCAGGGCCAGGCGCUCUCUUAUUCUCACAGCUCUCUUCAUGCCAGAUCUGAUUUCUUUCUACAGCUGUAAUAUUUCAAUAGUGCUGAGCGCCCUUUCCCCUAAC
Pelobates cultripes (western spadefoot toad) is the source of this 202-nucleotide non-coding RNA. Lineage: Eukaryota; Metazoa; Chordata; Amphibia; Anura; Pelobatidae. The record is from the annotation of a GenBank genome assembly.